UCAGACGAUGCGUCAUGCAUAUCAAUAAGCGGAGGAAAAGAAACUAACAAGGAUUCCCCUAGUAACGGCGAGUGAAGCGGGAAGAGCUCAAAUUUGAAAUCUUAAAGGGUUUCCCUUUACGAAUUGUAGUUUAAAGAAGUGUUUUCUGUUGAGGUUUUGGUAAAAGUUCUUUGGAAUAGGACAUCAUAGAGGGUGAGAAUCCCGUAUUUGACCUUUACUUUCAACUUUGUGAUACACUUUCAAAGAGUCGGAUUGUUUGGGAAUGCAGUCCAAAAUGGGUGGUAAAUUUCAUCUAAAGCUAAAUAUUGGCGAGAGACCGAUAGCGAACAAGUACCGUGAGGGAAAGAUGAAAAGAACUUUGAAAAGAGAGUUAAACAGUACGUGAAAUUGUCAAAAGGGAGCGUUUGACACCAGUGUUGUUUUUCUGAAAAUCAAUUAAAGAACUGUUUAUGCUAAGUUGUUUAGACUUUAUCAGCUAACUGUUUAGUUUUGAGCUUUUCUUUAAUGCACUUUUCAGUUAACAAGUCAACAUCAAUUUCUUUUGCUGUAAAAAAGCUUGAGGAAGGUGGCUUGAGAUUCGUCUUAAGUGUUUAUAGCCUCUUGCCUAUGCAGUCGGAGAGAUUGAGGUCUGCAGCGUAGAUCCUUCGGGGCUAAAUGCAUUUGUGCUAAGUUAUAGCAUUUUAUAGACAACUUGUUGACUAUGAUUUGUCUUGUAGCUUACUCGCUUAUGUUAUUUUACCUACGCUUAGGAUGUUGAGCGCAUGUCUCUCUCU
RNAcentral lists this ribosomal RNA (773 nucleotides) under uncultured Neocallimastigales. Its description in RNAcentral is "partial large subunit ribosomal RNA". It matches the Rfam family "Eukaryotic large subunit ribosomal RNA", at positions 18 to 616 of the family's 3401-position model. The record is from RNAcentral. Lineage: Eukaryota; Fungi; Neocallimastigomycota; Neocallimastigomycetes; Neocallimastigales.